UACGAAGGUCCCAAGCGUUAUCCGGAUUUAUUGGGUUUAAAGGGUGCGUAGGCGGAUUGUUAAGUCAGUGGUGAAAGCUCCCGGCUCAACCGGGAAAUUGCCAUUGAUACUGACGAUCUUGAGUGUGGUUGAGGUGGGCGGAAUGUGUCAUGUAGCGGUGAAAUGCUUAGAUAUGACACAGAACACCGAUUGCGAAGGCAGCUCACUAAGCCACAACUGACGCUGAUGCACGAAAGCGUGGGGAGCAAACAGGAUUAGAUACCCUGGUAGUCCACGCCCUAAACGAUGAUCACUCGAUGUGUGCGAUAUACAGUACGCGUCUGAGCGAAAGCAUUAAGUGAUCCACCUGGGGAGUACGACCGCAAGGUUGAA
RNAcentral lists this ribosomal RNA (372 nucleotides) under uncultured bacterium. RNAcentral's name for it is "bacterial SSU rRNA". It matches the Rfam family "Bacterial small subunit ribosomal RNA", at positions 524 to 898 of the family's 1533-position model. The record is from RNAcentral.